RNAcentral lists this ribosomal RNA (277 nucleotides) under uncultured bacterium. Its description in RNAcentral is "partial 16S ribosomal RNA". It matches the Rfam family "Bacterial small subunit ribosomal RNA", at positions 29 to 289 of the family's 1533-position model. The record is from RNAcentral.
ACGAACGCUGGCGGCGUGCUUAACACAUGCAAGUCGAACGGGAUUUAGUAAACAGAAGCCUCGGUGGAAGAUUACUAAUGAGAGUGGCGAACGGGUGAGUAACGCGUGAGCAACCUGCCUAUGACAGUGGGAUAGCCUCGGGAAACCGGGAUUAAUACCGCAUAAAAUCGUAGAAACACAUGUUUCAACGGUCAAAGAUUUAUCGGUCAUAGAUGGGCUCGCGUCUGAUUAGCUAGUUGGUGAGAUAACAGCCCACCAAGGCGACGAUCAGUAGCCG